UACGGAGGGUGCAAACGUUGCUCGGAAUCAUUGGGCGUAAAGCGCACGUAGGCGGCCUGUUAAGUCGGGUGUGAAAGCCCUGGGCUCAACCCAGGAAGUGCACUCGAAACUAGCGGGCUUGAAUAUGGAAGAGGGUCGCGGAAUUCCCGGUGUAGAGGUGAAAUUCGUAGAUAUCGGGAGGAACACCAGUGGCGAAGGCGGCGACCUGGGCCAAUAUUGACGCUGAGGUGCGAAAAGCGUGGGGGAGCAAACAGG
Molecule: ribosomal RNA, 255 nt
Filed under: uncultured bacterium
Lineage: Bacteria
Description: partial 16S ribosomal RNA
Rfam family: Bacterial small subunit ribosomal RNA
Source: RNAcentral